RNAcentral lists this long non-coding RNA (1166 nucleotides) under Podarcis muralis (Common wall lizard). RNAcentral describes it as "lncRNA (ENSPMRG00000023244.1)". Lineage: Eukaryota; Metazoa; Chordata; Lepidosauria; Squamata; Lacertidae. The record is from RNAcentral.
UUCCCUUUUCCCCUCAGACCUAUUUCUACUGCCCCUAGUGGUGUUUGGAUUUACAACUGCUUGAGCCUGGUAUUUUUCCUCUUCCUUUCUUUAACUUUUUGUUUACUCUCUGGGCUGGAAGGUUCCCAUGGGACUGUUUAGAAUUUGACCUUGGCACGUAGACAGGAGUGGAAUGAGUGGCGCUGGGAGAACAAGAGCGGCCAAAGCUAGAGCAAAACAACUAACUCAAGCAACACUGACUUCCCAAUUCCGCAGAUCAUCAGUUCCCGCAGUCUUGGGAACGCAAGAAGCAGAAAUUGAGGUGGCCUCUUUAGAAGGUAUGGCAUCUGGAGGAGACGACUCAGUACUAGAUAAAAUCUUGCAGAAAUUGGAAAUAUUGGACAAGAAAGCAGAUGUACAAGCGGUUAAGACUGAUCAAAAUACUGCCUGCCUAAAUAAACUAACGGAGCAAGUUACUUUACACUCACAAUCAAUUGGGAAACUUUUUGAGGCUACCUCUGAGAACCGUAAAUUGGCGGAAUUGGCUAGCCAGAAAGUGGAGGAAGUGAAGAAGGAAGUUAAACCACUGCAUAAACAGGUUGGUGAACAUCAGGCCUACCUGUCUAUGGUUGAACUACGGUCCAGGGAAAAUAAUCUUAGGCUGAGAGCAAUUCCAGAACUUGAACAGGGGAAUUUGACAGACUAUUUGGCAAAAGAGUUUUCUAAGUUCUGGAAUUUGGAGGAAAAUAAAGACUUUAAAAUUGUAACUGCCUUUAGACUUGGAAGAAUUUUGAAAAAGGACAGACCCAGAGAUUGUUUGAUCACCUUGAGAUCUAAGGAGGAAAGGGAUAAAAUACUAAGCUUACAUUACAAAAAGUCACUUGAAAUACUGGGCACUAGAGCUGAAAUUUACAGAGACAUUCCUAAACAACUUCUGGACCUCAGAACCGCCUAUACAGAUUUGACAAAGUUGCUCAAAGGAAAUAAACUUCCUUUUAGGUGGGAAUUUCCCCAAGGAUUAUCUUUUACAUUCAGAGGGGAAAAGGUGAAAUUAAAACACCGGAGGAUAAAGACAUGUUUUUUGCAGGAGCACGAAGAAGACCUUCAGAAAGGGACUAUAGGGCCUGGAUCCUGGCCACCCCCGCAGCCGGAGGAAUCUACACCUUCGGGAUCAAUUGACCAGGAGA